CCUACGGGUGGCAGCAGUGAGGAAUAUUGGUCAAUGGACGAGAGUCUGAACCAGCCAAGCAGCGUGAAGGAUGACUGCCCUAUGGGUUGUAAACUUCUUUUAUAUGGGAAUAAAAUGUUCCACGUGUGGGAUUUUGUAUGUACCAUACGAAUAAGGAUCGGCUAACUCCGUGCCAGCAGCCGCGGUAAUACGGAGGAUCCGAGCGUUAUCCGGAUUUAUUGGGUUUAAAGGGGGCGUAGGUGGUGUGGUAAGUCAGUUGUGAAAGCUUGCGGCUCAACCGUAGAAUUGCAGUUGAAACUGGCAGUCUUGAGAACAGUAGAGGUGGGCGGAAUGCGUGGUGUAGCGGUGAAAUGCUUAGAGAUCACGAAGAACACCGAUUGCGAAGGCAGCUCACUGGACUGCAACUGACACUGAGGCUCGAAAGUGUGGGGAGCAAACAGGAUUAGAUACCCGGGUAGUC
Molecule: ribosomal RNA, 460 nt
Filed under: uncultured bacterium
Lineage: Bacteria
Description: partial 16S ribosomal RNA
Rfam family: Bacterial small subunit ribosomal RNA
Source: RNAcentral